GUUAGGUGGCAAGCGUUGUCCGGAAUUAUUGGGCGUAAAGCGCGUGCAGGCGGGUCCUUUAAGUCUGAUGUGAAAGCCCACGGGCUCAACCGUGGAGGGUCAUUGGAAACUGGGGGACUUGAGUACAGAAGAGGAAAGCGGAAUUCCAAGUGUAGCGGUGAAAUGCGUAGAGAUUUGGAGGAACACCAGUGGCGAAGGCGGCUUUCUGGUCUGUAACUGACGCUGAGGCGCGAAAGCGUGGGGAGCAAACAGGAUUAGAUACCCUGGUGGUCCACGCCGUAAACGAUGAGUGCUAAGUGUUAGGGGGUUUCCGCCCCUUAGUGCUGCAGCUAACGCAUUAAGCACUCCGCCUGGGGAGUACGGCCGCAAAGGCUG
Molecule: ribosomal RNA, 375 nt
Filed under: uncultured organism
Description: partial 16S ribosomal RNA
Rfam family: Bacterial small subunit ribosomal RNA
Source: RNAcentral